UCCAUUUGCCUUCCAGCUAUCUUGUACUGGAAACCUUUCCAGCCUCCAAAAUGGCGCCGAUCGUUUUUGGACCGCCCACAGAGACCUUUUCCUUGGUCUCAUGUGUGCUGUCAUUACUUUUGGCUACAUUGGGAUCAGCUGAGCUUGUCAGCUGGGUGGAUUAUUUUCCUUCUGCUGACGCCCAGGUCAUGUGUCUGCACUGGUGGCGCUUUGAUUGGUCAAUCAUUGCCGUGGUGGCAGAUUUAAAGCCCAAGCGCUGUGUUAGGCGCUCCAGCUGAGACCAGACCUAAUUAAUGCAAGGAAAGGCUGCUGUAUGCACAGCUAUCUAGGUGGCUCUGCCUUUUCAUCUUUGGACUUUGUCCUAAUCAGAGCGGAUGCCGCUUU
This is a long non-coding RNA of Rana temporaria (common frog), 384 nucleotides long. RefSeq lists it as uncharacterized. The transcript is spliced from 2 exons. Lineage: Eukaryota; Metazoa; Chordata; Amphibia; Anura; Ranidae. The record is from RefSeq and is a predicted model, not a curated record.